UACGAAGGGGGCUAGCGUUGCUCGGAAUCACUGGGCGUAAAGAGUGCGUAGGCGGGUCUUUAAGUCAGAGGUGAAAUCCUGGAGCUCAACUCCAGAACUGCCUUUGAUACUGAGGAUCUUGAGUAUGGGAGAGGUGAGUGGAACUGCGAGUGUAGAGGUGAAAUUCGUAGAUAUUCGCAAGAACACCAGUGGCGAAGGCGGCUCACUGGCCCGGUACUGACGCUGAGGUGCGAAAGCGUGGGGAGCAAACAGG
RNAcentral lists this ribosomal RNA (253 nucleotides) under uncultured bacterium. RNAcentral describes it as "partial 16S ribosomal RNA". It matches the Rfam family "Bacterial small subunit ribosomal RNA", at positions 524 to 776 of the family's 1533-position model. The record is from RNAcentral.